Molecule: ribosomal RNA, 309 nt
Filed under: Streptomyces sp. RNM-15-20-5b
Lineage: Bacteria; Bacillati; Actinomycetota; Actinomycetes; Kitasatosporales; Streptomycetaceae
Description: bacterial SSU rRNA
Rfam family: Bacterial small subunit ribosomal RNA
Source: RNAcentral
GCGUCUUAACAUGCAGUUCGAACGAUGAACCACUUCGGUGGGGAUUAGUGGCGAACGGGUGAGUAACACGUUGGGCAAUCUGCCCUGCACUCUGGGACAAGCCCUGGAAACGGGGUCUAAUACCGGAUACUGACCCGCCUGGGCAUCCAGGCGGUUCGAAAGCUCCGGCGGUGCAGGAUGAGCCCGCGGCCUAUCAGCUUGUUGGUGAGGUAACGGCUCACCAAGGCGACGACGGGUAGCCGGCCUGAGAGGGCGACCGGCCACACUGGGACUGAGACACGGCCCAGACUCCUACGGANGGCAGCAGAC